ACCUUGUUUCUUUAUUGAUUAAAAAAUAAAUAUGUGCUUUAAAAAAAACCAAAUAAAUAAUUUUUGCAUUAUCCCAAUAUUUUAACCUAAUUUUCCCUCAUCGUCUCCCUGCCUCUCUACGUACACUCUGCAUCCUCCCUCUUUCACUGGUAUCACUACAUCAAACACCACAUUCCAUAAUAAAUGAAUAUAAUACUAUUAAAAAGUAUUAUUAUAUCUUUGGUUAAAGAAGCGGUAAAAAAAAACAAAGGCAAAAAAAAUAAGAAACAAAAAAAGGCAGCAUACUUUUGAGAAAGCCCGCUAAAUUCUAGAACUCAUUUUUAGAAUAACAUAUUCAACAAGAAAGAAAAAUAAAAAUAACAAUACUCAGUCUCUCUUUCUCCGACGAUCAAGUAGGCAUCCCUCUUAGCUCUUCCUAUAUUUUGUUGUAAUCGUUUCUCUCAACUUUGGCAACCACCUUUUCCCUAUGUGAAUUGCUUUCCCUUUUUCGUUGAGAUUUACCAUUUUUUUUUAGUUUGCGUUUGGUGAUGGGGCUAAUUUUGAGGUUGAUGAUUAGAAGUUUAUGGUUUGUUGGGAAAAGAACAAUGACAAGAAGCAGAGAGAUUGAGCCAUGUUAUGGAAUUGCUCGAUGCUUUACUUUUGGCAGAAGUAGGAGCAUAGUUCUCCGUGAUCCUAACAUCCAACCACAGUUAGACUUAUCCAUGGAACAAUAUAUGAAAAUAGAUGAGCAGACUACUGUAAACCACUUCCACGAGAAGCUUCUCAAGCUUAAGGAUAUGAUGAAAACCAAGGUAUAAUGGUUAGAAAAAGUUGAAAAUAGACAACAAUACUCUACAUUUUUCCCACACUUAUUUAAUUAUUUUUAUAUUUAUGUUCAAAACUCAUUUCUUAUUAGUUAUUUUGGAAUAUAGUUUUGAUUUCAUGUAGAAUGUUAAAUUUAUGCAAGAGUUGGCGAGUGAUGUUGCACACUAAGUUCAUGAUGCCAAAUUUUCACUAGAACUUGUGUUUUUGAGAUCUUUUGUGAAGUUGUACUAUUUUUUUCAUCUUUUUUUUCAUACUUUUACACACUUUUAUUUGAGGGGAUACAUUCAUUUUCUUUUACUCAUGAUAUAUGUGAAUGCCAAAAAUUGGACAUGAUCCUGAGAGGGCCACAAUCAACACUCGAAAGAAAAGUUGAGGCUUUCCCCUAGUGACCUCGGGCACGUCAAGCAACCUCAUGUCUCACCCCACACGAGAAUUGCCCGUCUUGCCCCAUGCGAGGUUGUGACCCCUGGCGCAUCUCGCCCCACCUCGCCCAGAUGAAGGUCCAAAAGGCCACGUUUUGGCGUGCGUCGCCUAGCACGCCCACCAACGGCCUCGCGCCUCAGGUGCGUGCUGUAGCCUCUCGUGCACAACCGCGCCUCGUGCCACUGGCCCUCGGUAG
Molecule: long non-coding RNA, 1423 nt
Organism: Humulus lupulus (European hop)
Lineage: Eukaryota; Viridiplantae; Streptophyta; Magnoliopsida; Rosales; Cannabaceae
Exons: 4
Source: RefSeq, a predicted model, not a curated record